RNAcentral lists this ribosomal RNA (487 nucleotides) under uncultured bacterium. RNAcentral's name for it is "partial 16S ribosomal RNA". It matches the Rfam family "Bacterial small subunit ribosomal RNA", at positions 28 to 507 of the family's 1533-position model. The record is from RNAcentral.
GAUGAACGCUCGCGAUAGGCUUAACACAUGCAAGUCGAGGGGCAGCACAAGGUAGCUUGCUAUCUGGGUGGCGACCGGCGCACGGGUGCGUAACGCGUAUGCAACUUGCCCUAUACAGGAGGAUAACCCGUCGAAAGACGGACUAAUACUGCGUAUGCUCACAACUUGGCAUCAAGUGGUGAGGAAAGAAAUUCGGUAUAGGAUAGGCAUGCGUCCCAUUAGCUUGUUGGUGAGGUAACGGCUCACCAAGGCAACGAUGGGUAGGGGAACUGAGAGGUUUAUCCCCCACACUGGUACUGAGACACGGACCAGACUCCUACGGGAGGCAGCAGUGAGGAAGAUUGGUCAAGGGGCGCGAGCCUGAACCAGCCAAGUCGCGUGAAGGAUGACUGUCUUAUGGAUUGUAAACUUCUUUUAGACGGGAAUAACAAGAGUCACGGGUGACUCCCUGCAUGUACCGGAUGAAUAAGCAUCGGCUAACUCCGUG